CAGUAGCCGCGGAAAUACGUAGGGCGCAAGCGUUAUCCGGAAUUAUUGGGCGUAAAGAGCUCGUAGGCGGUUUGUCGCGUCUGCCGUGAAAGUCCGGGGCUCAACCCCGGAUCUGCGGUGGGUACGGGCAGACUAGAGUGAUGUAGGGGAGACUGGAAUUCCUGGUGUAGCGGUGAAAUGCGCAGAUAUCAGGAGGAACACCGAUGGCGAAGGCAGGUCUCUGGGCAUUAACUGACGCUGAGGAGCGAAAGCAUGGGGAGCGAACAGGAUUAGAUACCCCGGUAGUCCCUGUCUCUUAUAU
RNAcentral lists this ribosomal RNA (301 nucleotides) under uncultured bacterium. RNAcentral's name for it is "partial 16S ribosomal RNA". It matches the Rfam family "Bacterial small subunit ribosomal RNA", at positions 509 to 809 of the family's 1533-position model. The record is from RNAcentral.